This 103-nucleotide ribosomal RNA is filed under the name Tradescantia pallida. RNAcentral describes it as "4.5S ribosomal RNA". The record is from RNAcentral. Lineage: Eukaryota; Viridiplantae; Streptophyta; Magnoliopsida; Commelinales; Commelinaceae.
GUUCAAAUCUCUCGGUCUGUUAGGAUGCCUCAGCUGCAUACAUUACUGCACUUCCACUUGACACCUAUCGUAAUGAUAAACGGCUCGUCUCGCCGUGACCUUA